This 215-nucleotide long non-coding RNA is filed under the name Homo sapiens (human). Its description in RNAcentral is "non-protein coding lnc-KCTD1-5:3". The record is from RNAcentral. Lineage: Eukaryota; Metazoa; Chordata; Mammalia; Primates; Hominidae.
CCACCCCAGCAGCAGCAGUACCCAGGGCAGCAAGGUUACCCAGGACAGCAGCAGGGCUACGGUCCUUCACAGGGUGGUCCAGGUCCUCAGUAUCCUAACUACCCACAGGGACAAGGUCAGCAGUAUGGAGGAUAUAGACCAACACAGCCUGGACCACCACAGCCACCCCAGCAGAGGCCUUAUGGAUAUGACCAGAAUUCUAGGUGGACAGUUUG